Molecule: unclassified non-coding RNA, 265 nt
Filed under: Ochrocladosporium sp.
Lineage: Eukaryota; Fungi; Ascomycota; Dothideomycetes; Pleosporales
Description: partial contains 5.8S ribosomal RNA, internal transcribed spacer 2, and large subunit ribosomal RNA
Rfam family: 5.8S ribosomal RNA (bases 1-52)
Source: RNAcentral
AACGCACAUUGCGCCCUCCGGUAUUCCGGGGGGCAUGCCUGUCUGAGCGUCAGUAUUCUCUCUCUAUUAUAUAUUUUAGGGGUGUUGGAAUUGGUAUUGGUAUUGACAUACCUUUUCUAAAAGAGAUUGGCAAUGAUGAGAAGAAAGCCAGUGUUAUAGGUUUACCCAUCACUCUCAUUCUUUCAAGUCUUGCCGUAAAACUUAUAUACUUCGUAUAUACUUUUAAUUUGACCUCAAAUCAGGUAGGAGUACCCGCUGAACUUAA